RNAcentral lists this ribosomal RNA (251 nucleotides) under uncultured prokaryote. Its description in RNAcentral is "partial 16S rRNA". It matches the Rfam family "Bacterial small subunit ribosomal RNA", at positions 525 to 775 of the family's 1533-position model. The record is from RNAcentral.
ACGGAGGAUCCGAGCGUUAUCCGGAUUUAUUGGGUUUAAAGGGUGCGUAGGCGGAAGAAUAAGUCAGUGGUGAAAGCUUGCAGCUCAACUGUAGAAUUGCAUUUGAAACUGUUUUUCUUGAGUGUAAAUGAGGUAGGCGGAAUGUGUUGUGUAGCGGUGAAAUUCUUAGAUAUGACGCAGAACACCGGUUGCGAAGGCAGCUUACUAGAAUACAACUGACGCUGAGGCACGAAAGCGUGGGGAGCGAACAG